CUAUGGUAAUUGCUCUGAAGUUAUCAAAGGAUCUGAAUAACACUUCUCUUAAAGAACUAUUUAGGUCUUUAAGAAAUAAUGAGAUUGAGCUCAGGAAAGAUGAGCCUAAGAGAAAGACAAAAUUUGUUGCUCUAAAGUAUUCAGGAAGACCUGAGAAGAAAAAACCUCUUCAAGCAAAAACAUAUGAAGAGUCUGAAAAGGAAUAAGAAAAAGAAGAUGAAUUGUCUCUUUUGUCCAGACAUGUAAAUCAACUCUAGA
RNAcentral lists this long non-coding RNA (258 nucleotides) under Lathyrus oleraceus (garden pea). Its description in RNAcentral is "Pisum sativum (pea) long non-coding RNA (PSAT_LNC012292)". Lineage: Eukaryota; Viridiplantae; Streptophyta; Magnoliopsida; Fabales; Fabaceae. The record is from RNAcentral.